GAUGAACGCUGGCGGCGUGCCUAAUACAUGCAAGUCGAGCGAACAGACGAGGAGCUUGCUCCUCUGACGUUAGCGGCGGACGGGUGAGUAACACGUGGAUAACCUACCUAUAAGACUGGGAUAACUUCGGGAAACCGGAGCUAAUACCGGAUAAUAUAUUGAACCGCAUGGUUCAAUAGUGAAAGACGGUUUUGCUGUCACUUAUAGAUGGAUCCGCGCCGCAUUAGCUAGUUGGUAAGGUAACGGCUUACCAAGGCAACGAUGCGUAGCCGACCUGAGAGGGGAUUCGGCCACACGGAAACGAGACACCGGCCCAGACUCCACGGGGAGGCACAGGAGGGGAACCUGCCGCAAGGGGCAAAGGCCUGACGAAGCAACGCCGGGGGAGUAAUAAAGGUCUUCGAUUCGUAAACCUCUUUAAUUAGGAAAGAACAAAUUUGAAAGUAACAAUGACCGCCUUAACGGAACCAAACCAGAAGGCCACGCCAAACUACUG
This 496-nucleotide ribosomal RNA is filed under the name uncultured bacterium. Its description in RNAcentral is "partial 16S ribosomal RNA". It matches the Rfam family "Bacterial small subunit ribosomal RNA", at positions 28 to 506 of the family's 1533-position model. The record is from RNAcentral.